This 460-nucleotide ribosomal RNA is filed under the name uncultured bacterium. RNAcentral describes it as "bacterial SSU rRNA". It matches the Rfam family "Bacterial small subunit ribosomal RNA", at positions 340 to 793 of the family's 1533-position model. The record is from RNAcentral.
UACGGGAGGCAGCAGUGGGGAAUAUUGCACAAUGGGGGAAACCCUGAUGCAGCCAUGCCGCGUGUGUGAAGAAGGCCUUCGGGUUGUAAAGCACUUUCAGUAGGGAGGAAGGUAGUGUAGUUAACACCUGCACUAUUUGACGUUACCUACAGAAGAAGCACCGGCUAACUCCGUGCCAGCAGCCGCGGUAAUACGGAGGGUGCGAGCGUUAAUCGGAAUUACUGGGCGUAAAGCGCAUGCAGGCGGCCUGUUAAGUCAGAUGUGAAAGCCCGGGGCUUAACCUCGGAAUUGCAUUUGAAACUGGCAGGCUAGAGUCUUGUAGAGGGGGUAGAAUUUCAGGUGUAGCGGUGAAAUGCGUAGAGAUCUGAAGGAAUACCAGUGGCGAAGGCGGCCCCCUGGACAAAGACUGACGCUCAGAUGCGAAAGCGUGGGGAGCAAACAGGAUUAGAUACCCUGGUAG